This 24-nucleotide non-coding RNA is filed under the name Cricetulus griseus (Chinese hamster). Lineage: Eukaryota; Metazoa; Chordata; Mammalia; Rodentia; Cricetidae. The record is from RNAcentral.
AUCUGUCUGUGUGGAGGUGAAUGC